This 368-nucleotide ribosomal RNA is filed under the name uncultured Acidithiobacillus sp. Its description in RNAcentral is "bacterial SSU rRNA". It matches the Rfam family "Bacterial small subunit ribosomal RNA", at positions 1014 to 1382 of the family's 1533-position model. The record is from RNAcentral. Lineage: Bacteria; Pseudomonadati; Pseudomonadota; Acidithiobacillia; Acidithiobacillales; Acidithiobacillaceae.
GGCCUUCGGGAACUGUAAGACAGGUGCUGCAUGGCUGUCGUCAGCUCGUGUUGUGAAAUGUUGGUUAAGUCCCGCAACGAGCGCAACCCUUUAUCCUUAGUUGCCAGCGAUUCGGUCGGGAACUCUAGGGAGACUGCCGGUGAUAAACCGGAGGAAGGUGGGGACGACGUCAAGUCAUCAUGGCCCUUACGAGUAGGGCUACACACGUCAUACAAUGGUCGGUACAGAGGGCUGCCAACCCGCGAGGGGGAGCUAAUCCCACAAAACCGAUCGUAGUCCGGAUUGCAGUCUGCAACUCGACUGCAUGAAGUCGGAAUCGCUAGUAAUCGCGGAUCAGCAUGUCGCGGUGAAUACGUUCCCGGGUCCUU